UACGUAGGGUGCAAGCGUUAAUCGGAAUUACUGGGCGUAAAGCGUGCGCAGGCGGUUUUGUAAGUCUGUCGUGAAAGCCCCGGGCUCAACCUGGGAAUUGCGAUGGAGACUGCAAGGCUUGAAUCUGGCAGAGGGGGGUAGAAUUCCACGUGUAGCAGUGAAAUGCGUAGAGAUGUGGAGGAACACCGAUGGCGAAGGCAAUCCCCUGGGCCUGCACUGACGCUCAUGCACGAAAGCGUGGGGAGCAAACAGG
Molecule: ribosomal RNA, 253 nt
Filed under: uncultured bacterium
Lineage: Bacteria
Description: partial 16S ribosomal RNA
Rfam family: Bacterial small subunit ribosomal RNA
Source: RNAcentral